This 497-nucleotide ribosomal RNA is filed under the name uncultured bacterium. RNAcentral describes it as "partial 16S ribosomal RNA". It matches the Rfam family "Bacterial small subunit ribosomal RNA", at positions 28 to 507 of the family's 1533-position model. The record is from RNAcentral.
GAUGAACGCUGGCGGCGUGCCUAAUACAUGCAAGUCGAGCGAACAGACGAGGAGCUUGCUCCUCUGACGUUAGCGGCGGACGGGUGAGUAACACGUGGAUAACCUACCUAUAAGACUGGGAUAACUUCGGGAAACCGGAGCUAAUACCGGAUAAUAUAUUGAACCGCAUGGUUCAUUAGUGAAAGACGGUUUUGCUGUCACUUAUAGAUGGAUCCGCGCCGCAUUAGCUAGUUGGUAAGGUAACGGCUUACCAAGGCGACGAUGCGUAGCCGACCUGAGAGGGUGAUCGGCCACACUGGAACUGAGACGCGGUCCAGACUCCUACGGGAGGCAGCAGUAGGGAAUCUGCCGCAAUAGGCGAAAGCCUGACGGAGCAACGCCGCGUGAGAGAUGAAGGUCUUCGGAUCGUAAAACUCUGUUAUUAGGGAAGAACAAAUGUGUAAGUAACUAUGCACGUCUUGACGGUACCUAAUCAGAAAGCCACGGCUAACUACGUG